This 497-nucleotide ribosomal RNA is filed under the name uncultured bacterium. RNAcentral describes it as "partial 16S ribosomal RNA". It matches the Rfam family "Bacterial small subunit ribosomal RNA", at positions 28 to 507 of the family's 1533-position model. The record is from RNAcentral.
GAUGAACGCUGGCGGCGUGCCUAAUACAUGCAAGUCGAGCGAACGGACGAGAAGCUUGCUUCUCUGAUGUUAGCGGCGGACGGGUGAGUAACACGUGGAUAACCUACCUAUAAGACUGGGAUAACUUCGGGAAACCGGAGCUAAUACCGGAUAAUAUUUUGAACCGCAUGGUUCAAAAGUGAAAGACGGUCUUGCUGUCACUUAUAGAUGGAUCCGCGCUGCAUUAGCUAGUUGGUAAGGUAACGGCUUACCAAGGCAACGAUGCAUAGCCGACCUGAGAGGGUGAUCGGCCACACUGGAACUGAGACAUGGUCCAGACUCCUACGGGAGGCAGCAGUAGGGAAUCUUCCGCAAUGGGCGAAAGCCUGACGGAGCAACGCCGCGUGAGUGAUGAAGGUCUUCGGAUCGUAAAACUCUGUUAUUAGGGAAGAACAUAUGUGUAAGUAACUGUGCACAUCUUGACGGUACCUAAUCAGAAAGCCACGGCUAACUACGUG